Molecule: ribosomal RNA, 397 nt
Filed under: uncultured bacterium
Lineage: Bacteria
Description: partial 16S ribosomal RNA
Rfam family: Bacterial small subunit ribosomal RNA
Source: RNAcentral
AUACGUAGGGUGCGAGCGUUAAUCGGAAUUACUGGGCGUAAAGUGUGCGCAGGCGGUUCUAUAAGACAGAUGUGAAAUCCCCGGGCUUAACCUGGGAACUGCGUUUGUGACUGUAGGACUCGAGUGGGGGAGAGGGGGGUGGAAUUUCCCGUGUAGCAGUGAAAUGCGUAGAGAUGUGGAGGAACACCGAUGGCGAAGGCAGCCCCCUGGGUCAACACUGACGCUCAUGCACGAAAGCGUGGGUAGCAAACAGGAUUAGAUACCCUGGUAGUCCACGCCCUAAACGAUGCGAACUAGGUGUUGGGGAAGGAGACUUUCUUAGUACCGCAGCUAACGCGUGAAGUUCGCCGCCUGGGGAGUACGGUCGCAAGAUUAAAACUCAAAUGAAUUGACGGGG